AACGCACAUUGCGCCCGCCAGUACUCUGGCGGGCAUGCCUGUUCGAGCGUCAUUUCAACCCUCAAGCCCUGCUUGGUGUUGGGGCCCUACGGCUGCCGUAGGCCCUGAAAGGAAGUGGCGGGGCUCGCUGCAACUCCGAGCGUAGUAGAAUCCUAUCUCGCUAGGGAGGCGCGGCGCGCUCCAGCCGUUAAAGACCCCAUCUUUAACCAAGGUUGACCUCGGAUCAGGUAGGAAUACCCGCUGAACUUAA
RNAcentral lists this unclassified non-coding RNA (250 nucleotides) under uncultured Sordariaceae. RNAcentral's name for it is "sequence contains ITS2". The stretch from base 1 to 52 matches the Rfam family "5.8S ribosomal RNA", at positions 103 to 154 of the family's 154-position model. RNAcentral also lists the same sequence under 1 other name. The record is from RNAcentral. Lineage: Eukaryota; Fungi; Ascomycota; Sordariomycetes; Sordariales.